This is a small nuclear RNA of Leptonychotes weddellii (Weddell seal), 107 nucleotides long. The record is from RefSeq and is a predicted model, not a curated record. Lineage: Eukaryota; Metazoa; Chordata; Mammalia; Carnivora; Phocidae.
GUGCUUGCUUCAGCGGCACAUAUACUAAAAUUGGAACAAUACAGAGAAGAUCAGCAUGGUCCUUGCACAUGGAUGACAUGCAAAUCCAUGAAGAUUAAAAUAAAAAA